Molecule: small nuclear RNA, 104 nt
Filed under: Prolemur simus (greater bamboo lemur)
Lineage: Eukaryota; Metazoa; Chordata; Mammalia; Primates; Lemuridae
Source: RNAcentral
GUGCUCACUUUGGCAGCACAUACACUAAAAUUGGAAUGAUACAGAGACGAUUACAUGACCCCUGUGCAAGGAUGACAAUAAAAAAAUAACAAUAAUGAUUCAUU